CAUGGCUCAGGAUGAACGCUAGCGGCAGGCUUAAUACAUGCAAGUCAAGGGGGUAGCAAUACAACCGGCGCACGGGUGAGUAACACGUACACAACAUACCAUAUACUGAGGUAUAGCUUCGGGAAACUGAAGGUAAUCCCUCAUAGUAUUGUGAAAGGGCAUCUUUUUACAAUUAAAGUUUCGACGGUAUAUGAUUGGUGUGCGUUUGAUUAGCUAGUUGGUAGGGUAACGGCCUACCAAGGCAACGAUCAAUAGCUGGCGUGAGAGCGCGACCAGCCACACUGGAACUGAGACACGGUCCAGACUCCUACGGGAGGCAGCAGUAGGGAAUAUUGGACAAUGGGCGAAAGCCUGAUCCAGCCAUGCCGCGUGAUAGAUGAAGGCCCUCUGGGUUGUAAAUAUCUUUUAUCUGGGAAGAAACACUUCUAUUCUUAGAAGCUUGACGGUACCAGAGGAAUAAGCACCGGCUAACUCCGUG
This 478-nucleotide ribosomal RNA is filed under the name uncultured bacterium. RNAcentral's name for it is "bacterial SSU rRNA". It matches the Rfam family "Bacterial small subunit ribosomal RNA", at positions 18 to 507 of the family's 1533-position model. The record is from RNAcentral.